RNAcentral lists this ribosomal RNA (596 nucleotides) under Adelie penguin guano bacterium 70. RNAcentral's name for it is "bacterial SSU rRNA". It matches the Rfam family "Bacterial small subunit ribosomal RNA", at positions 93 to 686 of the family's 1533-position model. The record is from RNAcentral.
GAGCGGCGGACGGGUGAGUAAUACUUAGGAAUCUACCUAGUAGUGGGGGAUAGCUCGGGGAAACUCGAAUUAAUACCGCAUACGACCUACGGGAGAAAGGGGGCAACUUGUUGCUCUCGCUAUUAGAUGAGCCUAAGUCGGAUUAGCUAGAUGGUGGGGUAAAGGCCUACCAUGGCGACGAUCUGUAGCUGGUCUGAGAGGAUGAUCAGCCACACCGGGACUGAGACACGGCCCGGACUCCUACGGGAGGCAGCAGUGGGGAAUAUUGGACAAUGGGGGCAACCCUGAUCCAGCCAUGCCGCGUGUGUGAAGAAGGCCUUUUGGUUGUAAAGCACUUUAAGCAGUGAAGAAGACUCUAUGGUUAAUACCCAUAGACGAUGACAUUAGCUGCAGAAUAAGCACCGGCUAACUCUGUGCCAGCAGCCGCGGUAAUACAGAGGGUGCAAGCGUUAAUCGGAAUUACUGGGCGUAAAGCGAGCGUAGGUGGCUUGAUAAGUCAGAUGUGAAAUCCCCGGGCUUAACCUGGGAACUGCAUCUGAUACUGUUAGGCUAGAGUAGGUGAAGAGGGAGGUAGAAUUUCAGGUGUAGCGGUGAAA